UGUGUUGGGAGGGGCGGCGGGAAGUGUGGUGGAGGCGUGGACAGCGAGUGGGGAGUUGAGUGGCCUCGUGGGGCGGCUCGUGGUUCUCCCCAACACACCCGAUCACUCUCGCUUGUUUCCCUUUCUGUGUCCUCCUGUCACUCAGUAUUCCCUUCCCUGUCUCCGCCGUUGUUCUCAAGGAGUUGUUCUUACUGAUGCAAGCCCUUUAGAGCUCCAGUGUGCAUGAGCACGGUUGGAACUGGUGCCUUGGCGCGGGCAGACCACGUGAGGGCAGCAAGGCAGCCACGUGAUAACCCUCUGACUAGAAACUUUAGCGUAUAUAAGACUCUGCGAGCCUUCAGGAACCCAGUGUGCAGCUUGUGUAGGGGACCGUUCGUGCCACGGAGAAGGCCAUACACAGGUGACAAUGGCGCUGACUUCACCGGCGUCGCGUCAGCCCGGAGUUAAAAUGUUUGCCUUCAAAGUGAUGAGGAAACGUUUGUUCAAGCGAUUCCUCAUGUUAGAAACGAGUGUCGGGCUGUACAGUGAGCAAGCACCUAUUGGUGGCGAGCCGCGGGCCGUGUUGGGCCGUGCGCCUUCAUUAACUGCGCCGCGACACCGACGGGCGCCGCGCCGCGAUGUAUCCACGGAGUAAGCCAAUUAACCAGAGUCUGGACGAGGUGUUUCAUCUCAUCCUAUUUGCCACGCUGGACCGCUGGCUGCCGGCGGCAGGCCCAUCGCUGGACUCCCAAGGGUCAUGCACCGCGGCCCUCGUAAUCCCUGGUAACGGAUACCUCAUUUGUCUUGCUUGUUUGUACUGAGUUAUCACUUCCCUGGAAAGAAUUUCCUUCUUUUUUUGGCAUCAUACGUUGAAAUGUUUUCCAACAUGGACGAAACUUUUCAUCACUCCU
Eriocheir sinensis (Chinese mitten crab) is the source of this 890-nucleotide long non-coding RNA. RefSeq lists it as uncharacterized. NCBI's taxonomy places the organism in Eukaryota, Metazoa, Arthropoda, Malacostraca, Decapoda, Varunidae. The record is from RefSeq and is a predicted model, not a curated record. The transcript is spliced from 4 exons.